UUCACUCCCAAAUCCUCCUCCAAACUCAGCUGUUCAUCGGUAAAUUUCUUGAGCCUUAUUUCAGUUUUGGCUAAAAACGACAUCACCAUAUUUUGUUCCGUUCUUAAUCGUUAUAGCAUUAUUUUCAGUUCCGUUUCGUCUUAGACGGAGUAGACUCACGCCUCUACAAAUCCCAUCUUUAGUUUCUCCAAACGACCCGUCGAUUGCUCGUGCUUCGGAGUCUACGCAGGGUUAGCUGUUUGCCAAGAUCACGUGGAUAAGCAAGCAGUUUAUGAUUUUAAAGCUGGUCCACUCCGAUUCUUUUGAUUCCUCGGAGGUUUUUAUGUUAUUAAACUAGUUUCUAUUUUCGAACUCUUAGACCGCAGUAGAACUAGUUUAUUUAUUACAUUUGAUUAUUACACUUUGGGAUUGUCGAUAUAUUCGAUUAUUUAUAUUGGCAUGAUUACUCUGGAUUACGAUAUUGUUAUAUAUAAGGCAUGAUGUUGAACAUUUAAGAUAUUUAAGUUAUUUAUAUUAGAACUGUAAUAUAAAUUGCUAGACCUAGGUUGGAGUCUCGGUUGCCCCCGAGCAAUUUCUGCAGGUUUAAAUAUUUAUUUGAUUUCCGCGAGGCUUGCUACGGGUUUUGGUACAACCAUACCCAUACCCUAGCG
Molecule: long non-coding RNA, 650 nt
Organism: Mercurialis annua (annual mercury)
Lineage: Eukaryota; Viridiplantae; Streptophyta; Magnoliopsida; Malpighiales; Euphorbiaceae
Exons: 3
Source: RefSeq, a predicted model, not a curated record